RNAcentral lists this ribosomal RNA (492 nucleotides) under uncultured bacterium. Its description in RNAcentral is "partial 16S ribosomal RNA". It matches the Rfam family "Bacterial small subunit ribosomal RNA", at positions 29 to 507 of the family's 1533-position model. The record is from RNAcentral.
AGUGAACGCUGGCGGUAGGCCUAACACAUGCAAGUCGAACGGUAGCACAGUAAGAGCUUGCUCUUACGGGUGGCGAGUGGCGGACGGGUGAGGAAUACAUCGGAAUCUACUUUUUCGUGGGGGAUAACGUAGGGAAACUUACGCUAAUACCGCAUACGACCUACGGGUGAAAGCAGGGGAUCUUCGGACCUUGCGCGAUUGAAUGAGCCGAUGUCGGAUUAGCUAGUUGGCGGGGUAAAGGCCCACCAAGGCGACGAUCCGUAGCUGGUCUGAGAGGAUGAUCAGCCACACUGGAACUGAGACACGGUCCAGCCUCCUACGGGAGGCAGCAGUGGGGAAUAUUGGACAAUGGGCGCAAGCCUGAUCCAGCCAUACCGCGUGGGUGAAGAAGGCCUUCGGGUUGUAAAGCCCUUUUGUUGGGAAAGAAAAGCAGCAGGUUAAUACCCCGCUGUUCUGACGGUACCCAAAGAAUAAGCACCGGCUAACUUCGUG